AUCCUCCAAGGCUAAAUACUCCUGACUGACCGAUAGUGAACCAGUACCGUGAGGGAAAGGCGAAAAGAACCCCGGCGAGGGGAGUGAAAAAGAACCUGAAACCGUGUACGUACAAGCAGUGGGAGCACGCUUAGGCGUGUGACUGCGUACCUUUUGUAUAAUGGGUCAGCGACUUAUAUUCUGUAGCAAGGUUAACCGAAUAGGGGAGCCGAAGGGAAACCGAGUCUUAACUGGGCGUUAAGUUGCAGGGUAUAGACCCGAAACCCGGUGAUCUAGCCAUGGGCAGGUUGAAGGUUGGGUAACACUAACUGGAGGACCGAACCGACUAAUGUUGAAAAAUUAGCGGAUGACUUGUGGCUGGGGGUGAAAGGCCAAUCAAACCGGGAGAUAGCUGGUUCUCCCCGAAAGCUAUUUAGGUAGCGCCUCGUGAACUCAUCUCCGGGGGUAGAGCACUGUUUCGGCAAGGGGGUCAUCCCGACUUACCAACCCGAUGCAAACUGCGAAUACCGGAGAAUGUUAUCACGGGAGACACACGGCGGGUGCUAACGUCCGUCGUGAAGAGGGAAACAACCCAGACCGCCAGCUAAGGUCCCAAAGUCAUGGUUAAGUGGGAAACGAUGUGGGAAGGCCCAGACAGCCAGGAUGUUGGCUUAGAAGCAGCCAUCAUUUAAAGAAAGCGUAAUAGCUCACUGGUCGAGUCGGCCUGCGCGGAAGAUGUAACGGGGCUAAACCAUGCACCGAAGCUGCGGCAGCGACGCUUAUGCGUUGUUGGGUAGGGGAGCGUUCUGUAAGCCUGUGAAGGUGUGCUGUGAGGCAUGCUGGAGGUAUCAGAAGUGCGAAUGCUGACAUAAGUAACGAUAAAGCGGGUGAAAAGCCCGCUCGCCGGAAGACCAAGGGUUCCUGUCCAACGUUAAUCGGGGCAGGGUGAGUCGACCCCUAAGGCGAGGCCGAAAGGCGUAGUCGAUGGGAAACAGGUUAAUAUUCCUGUACUUGGUGUUACUGCGAAGGGGGGACGGAGAAGGCUAUGUUGGCCGGGCGACGGUUGUCCCGGUUUAAGCGUGUAGGCUGGUUUUCCAGGCAAAUCCGGAAAAUCAAGGCUGAGGCGUGAUGACGAGGCACUACGGUGCUGAAGCAACAAAUGCCCUGCUUCCAGGAAAAGCCUCUAAGCAUCAGGUAACAUCAAAUCGUACCCCAAACCGACACAGGUGGUCAGGUAGAGAAUACCAAGGCGCUUGAGAGAACUCGGGUGAAGGAACUAGGCAAAAUGGUGCCGUAACUUCGGGAGAAGGCACGCUGAUAUGUAGGUGAAGUCCCUCGCGGAUGGAGCUGAAAUCAGUCGAAGAUACCAGCUGGCUGCAACUGUUUAUUAAAAACACAGCACUGUGCAAACACGAAAGUGGACGUAUACGGUGUGACGCCUGCCCGGUGCCGGAAGGUUAAUUGAUGGGGUCAGCGCAAGCGAAGCUCUUGAUCGAAGCCCCGGUAAACGGCGGCCGUAACUAUAACGGUCCUAAGGUAGCGAAAUUCCUUGUCGGGUAAGUUCCGACCUGCACGAAUGGCGUAAUGAUGGCCAGGCUGUCUCCACCCGAGACUCAGUGAAAUUGAACUCGCUGUGAAGAUGCAGUGUACCCGCGGCAAGACGGAAAGACCCCGUGAACCUUUACUAUAGCUUGACACUGAACAUUGAGCCUUGAUGUGUAGGAUAGGUGGGAGGCUUAGAAGUGUGGACGCCAGUCUGCAUGGAGCCGACCUUGAAAUACCACCCUUUAAUGUUUGAUGUUCUAACGUUGACCCGUAAUCCGGGUUGCGGACAGUGUCUGGUGGGUAGUUUGACUGGGGCGGUCUCCUCCUAAAGAGUAACGGAGGAGCACGAAGGUUGGCUAAUCCUGGUCGGACAUCAGGAGGUUAGUGCAAUGGCAUAAGCCAGCUUGACUGCGAGCGUGACGGCGCGAGCAGGUGCGAAAGCAGGUCAUAGUGAUCCGGUGGUUCUGAAUGGAAGGGCCAUCGCUCAACGGAUAAAAGGUACUCCGGGGAUAACAGGCUGAUACCGCCCAAGAGUUCAUAUCGACGGCGGUGUUUGGCACCUCGAUGUCGGCUCAUCACAUCCUGGGGCUGAAGUAGGUCCCAAGGGUAUGGCUGUUCGCCAUUUAAAGUGGUACGCGAGCUGGGUUUAGAACGUCGUGAGACAGUUCGGUCCCUAUCUGCCGUGGGCGCUGGAGAACUGAGGGGGGCUGCUCCUAGUACGAGAGGACCGGAGUGGACGCAUCACUGGUGUUCGGGUUGUCAUGCCAAUGGCACUGCCCGGUAGCUAAAUGCGGAAGAGAUAAGUGCUGAAAGCAUCUAAGCACGAAACUUGCCCCGAGAUGAGUUCUCCCUGACCCUUUAAGGGUCCUGAAGGAACGUUGAAGACGACGACGUUGAUAGGCCGGGUGUGUAAGCGCAGCGAUGCGUUGAGCUAACCGGUACUAAUGAACCGUGAGGCUUAACCUU
RNAcentral lists this ribosomal RNA (2490 nucleotides) under Escherichia coli HVH 150 (4-3258106). Its description in RNAcentral is "bacterial LSU rRNA". It matches the Rfam family "Bacterial large subunit ribosomal RNA", at positions 455 to 2925 of the family's 2925-position model. Lineage: Bacteria; Pseudomonadati; Pseudomonadota; Gammaproteobacteria; Enterobacterales; Enterobacteriaceae. The record is from RNAcentral.